This 510-nucleotide ribosomal RNA is filed under the name uncultured bacterium. RNAcentral describes it as "partial 16S ribosomal RNA". The record is from RNAcentral.
GGAGUUAGCCGGUGCUUCUUCUGCGAGUAACGUCACAGAUGUAAGGUAUUAACUUACACCCUUUCCUCCUCGCUGAAAGUGCUUUACAACCCGAAGGCCUUCUUCACACACGCGGCAUGGCUGCAUCAGGGUUUCCCCCAUUGCGCAAUAUUCCCCACUGCUGCCUCCCGUAGGAGUCUGGGCCGUGUCUCAGUCCCAGUGUGGCUGAUCAUCCUCUCAGACCAGCUAGGGAUCGUCGCCUAGGUGAGCCUUUACCUCACCUACUAGCUAAUCCCACCUGGGCUUAUCCAUCAGCGCAAGGCCCGAAGGUCCCCUGCUUUCCCCCGUAGGGCGUAUGCGGUAUUAGCAGUCGUUUCCAACUGUUAUCCCCCACAAAUGGGCAAAUUCCCAGGCAUUACUCACCCGUCCGCCGCUCGUCAUCUUCAAAGCAAGCUUUUGAAAUGUUACCGCUCGACUUGCAUGUGUUAGGCCUGCCGCCAGCGUUCAAUCUGAGCCAUGAUCAAACUCUGA